Molecule: ribosomal RNA, 484 nt
Filed under: uncultured bacterium
Lineage: Bacteria
Description: partial 16S ribosomal RNA
Rfam family: Bacterial small subunit ribosomal RNA
Source: RNAcentral
GACGAACGCUGGCGGCGUGCUUAACACAUGCAAGUCGAACGAUGAAGCCGGAGCUUGCUCUGGUGAAUUAGUGGCGAACGGGUGAGUAACACGUGAGUAACCUGCCCAUGACUCUGGGAUAACUGCGGGAAACUGUAGCUAAUACCGGAUACGACCCUUGGAGGCAUCUCCUGAGGGGGGAAAGAAUUUCGGUCAUGGAUGGACUCGCGGCCUAUCAGCUAGUUGGUGAGGUAAAGGCUCACCAAGGCGACGACGGGUAGCCGGCCUGAGAGGGUGACAGGCCACACUGGGACUGAGACACGGCCCAGACUCCUACGGGAGGCAGCAGUGGGGAAUAGUGCGCAAUGGGCGCAAGCCUGAUGCAGCAACGCCGCGUGAGGGACGACGGCCUUCGGGUUGUAAACCUCUUUUAGUAAGGAAGAAGCGAAAGUGACGGUACCUGCAGAAAAAGCACCGGCUAACUACGUGCCAGCAGCCGCAGUAA